This 105-nucleotide microRNA precursor is filed under the name Aedes aegypti (yellow fever mosquito). RNAcentral describes it as "Aae-Mir-2940-v1_pre stem-loop". The record is from RNAcentral. Lineage: Eukaryota; Metazoa; Arthropoda; Insecta; Diptera; Culicidae.
UGGUUUAUCUUAUCUGUCGAGGCAAGUUAUUUUACCGGAUAGUGUUUCUUUUCGUGAGCAAUCACCACUAUCCAGCUCUUCUUGUCGACAGGGAGAUAAAUCACU